UGGCUGCAUUUCCGGUUUGAGAGCAAAAUCUAAGUCAAAAUGGUGCGGCUUGUAUCAGUGAAAUUACUGUAAUCAUGCUCCUUUGUAGGAUCACGCUUUUGUAUUAUAGUAAUUAUGGAACCUUGAGGUAAGUUAUGGUGAGACUAUGACAGUCCAUAGAUAUUCAACUGAAGGUAGCACUGAGGAUGGCAACCAUACACAGCAAGAUGGACACACAAUGGGGAAAAAGAUAAAAAGCUCUCCUUCAUCCUUCACUCUCUCAACCCACCACCCUGCAUAACCUGCAAUAGCGUGAAGCAAGACAAGAAAGUCAGCAUUUCGCACCCUCCAACAGCUUUGACAUGACAGGUAUGGUAUUUUCUUACCCACAGAAUUGCCAAGGAAAUCUGCCCUAGCAAAAGUGCAAAAGUUUUCAGUACAAGGAGGUGGGCUGCAAAAACUGGCUUCUAGGCAAAGGUUGAAAUGACUCAAUCUGAAACAAAAUGUAAAGCAAUUGCUGCCUGGGAAAAAAAAAAAAAAGAUCAUGCUGACAUUUAGAGGCUGCAGUGAUACUAUCUGUCCCUUUUCAGGCUGACAUAAACAGCCUUGAUUUCAUCCUUAAAUGAUUUUAUUUUUGUUUGUUUGAUAUUUAGGAUAUCCUUUAUUUUUAGGCAGGGGGCAGCAGGAUGGAUGGAUUGUCUUAACUUCAGCUUUUAUGCCAAGAAAUAAUUGCCACCCCAGAAAGGUAAUUACAUAUGACAUUGUUUAUACACAUAAUAGGCCUGGAAAAGCAUGUUCUACAGAUAGGAAAAAAAAAAGAAAAACCUACUUUCACAUCAGGGUGGAACACUAUGCAAAGUGACAGAUUGCCACAAAUAGCAUUCAAACUCUUGCACAGUACUGGUAGAUUUUUCUUCUGGGGAAGAGGAGGAAGGGAUGAAGGCUAUGGAAUAGGGUGGAAUAGGGUGGAAAAGGGGAAAAAAAAGGAAGACAAUUUUGUUCAAUAGCUAUAGUGACAUACACAGUGGUUUUUACUUUCUUGAUUGCUGCUAAAUGAACCUGAUUUUUAAGUUGUUUAAAAAGUCACUGCCUCAAAGGGACAGUGUUGCCAUCUUGUACAAAUAUCACUUCUCCUAAAGUGGCCUAAAUUUGAAUUGCUCUGAAAGCAGACCAGAUAAUCUGCUAGAAUAUGUUGUGGCAUGAUGCAUCUCCCCUUUGUGCCCUUAGUGCCACAUAGAAAGUGAAUUUAGCUCAGAAAAGGACAACUAGUCUCUUUCCCCCCCUCCCAUCGUAAUCCAAUGAAAGAAUAAAACAAACAUUGUACUGCAGUGUCAAACCCAUUUUGGAUCUUUUUUUAAAUGCAAAAUAUGUAUUUCUUCAAGAUAUUGAAAGUUUCAGCGCUGAACAAAGGAAAGAAAUGCAUAUGUAUUUUGAUAUUGUUAUAUUCCGAAGCAAUUCAUAACACGGCUAUUCUCUAUGGCAGUGUCCAGCAAAUUGCAUGAGCUGCUUGUUAGGCUUGACAACAGUGUUUUACCUAACAAAGGCCUCAACAGCUCAGAGCAGCAGAGGAAUGUCAAAAUUAGCACAUUUGACACACAAAUGUGUGACCAUUAUAAUUUAUAAGAAGAUGCAUGGGGUGGAGGGAAGAGGCAGGAUGCUGGGAAGGCUAACAGUUAGCAGUAGGUACAUGGUGCUACUGACCACAUUUAAUCAACCCUUCUGUAAACAAUUCAACAUUUUCAUUGUUCUCUAAAAACUAAUCAAGAGAAACAAACACUUUUUAUUCAUCUUGAAGUAAUUUUCCGUCAGGUUUGAGUCCCUUGUGACUUACAGCUUGUGCAUUGCUAGCUGUGUGAUACAACAACUAUUUCAAUUUAUUUUACAAACUCUGGCCAUUCACAUGUCAGUUAGUGUUCACCAAGUCGGCAUCUGAAAUUGUGCAGUUAACGAGUUUUACAACAUUUCUAUCAAGAGAAACUGUUUAGCAUAACUGACUCUCAAGGAGUUAUUAUACCUCUAAAAAUCCAUUUUAAGGGGCAUUAUUUAAAUAAAAUAGAAAAACGGUUCACUGCCUUUUAAAGGGGCUACAAAAAAAGUCCAUCAGAUCCAGUGCAGUAAUCCUCAGCUUAAAGUACUCUUGGGAGCACUUCUGGGAAUUAUCAGCAUAAUGAAAUGUUUUGUAAAAUGUCCAGAUAGAUUUCUCUACUCAACAACUUUACUGCAGUAUAUUUAUUUUCCUUCUAGUCUUUAAAGAAGUGAACACUUUUUUGAGGUGAUGAUUCUACAUUGUGUAGAUUAACUGAAUUCAUUUUUUCAUUCUGAAGUUUUUUCCCUUUUGGGGAAACAUCUAUGUCAAACAACAAAAAAAGAGAAAAAAAUAAGUAAAGUGUUAGGUAGGACAGCUUUAUUUGUGACAAAUGAAAAGUCUGUAACUGAUUUUUUUGUGACCAAAAACUCGAUGAUUGCUCCACUGAUUUUUCAUUUCUUCAUACAGGUUCAAUUUUUUGCCCAGGAGUUAUUUAAUUUUUCUCUUUUCUAAAAGCACUUGUUUAUCCCCUGCAAAUAACAAGCACAUGUAAUUUACAGAAGACAGUAAUAAGUCUUGGAGAUGCACAGGCUUGAAAGGGUCUAAGCUGAGGUGCAGACAAGCUCUGAUUAUUCCUUCCUGCCAGCUUGUUGCGGGGGGGUAAAGUCCCUACCAAUGAGCUGUGGGUGGGAAGCACCUGGUACAGUAGUCACUGCAUUGAGAACUAGCUUGGCUAUCCUUCAGCCCACACUGAUGUCUACUGAAGUCUGGACAUCUCAAAUAUCUAAAAUAUGAGAGAAUAUUAUUAUUUUAAUCUUGUACCUAUAUGAGUAGCCAAUCUUUUAGUCCAUAUUACUCUGCAUUACUGGGCUAGCUGUUUUCUGUCCUAUUCCCAGAAAAACACUUCCAUUAUAAGGAGGUGUGGUCAGUCAGGGAGCAUGGUCAGUAGAAAGCUGCAUAAGUGCGCUCUACCUCUCUAGGGAAACUGUUGUCUUUGUUAAGCCUUCUUCCCUUCAGAGAAGACUUGUGAAUGUUUUGUAACACCAUGACUGAAUUAAAAGAAUAGUGUUAAUGACAAGAGAAAUUACUGAGACACCAUAAUUCAGGUUUGGGUAGACAAGUCUUCAAAUUAUAAUUUAAAAACUUUAAAUAUCAUAGAGAAAUAACCCAAAAUCCGAACCCAUGCAACAUCAAAGCUGAUACUGCAUAGUGAAGGAGACACUUAUAUUCACAGCUUCAGUUCCUAAAUUGGUGACAAUCUAAAUGCCGAAUUCUCUCACAUUGAGUAGAGCUGUGUACCAGGAUAAUGAGAUGCAAGUCCACAUCAGUCUGGUAGCAUGACUAAUAAUAUCAAUAAGAUUUGUUUUAAAUACUUCUGACCUUUGAUAGGAAGAAGUAAAACAUGAUGAAGAAAAAGUGGAUUGCAUAAGAAAUAAAUAAAAUGGUUUAAAAACUUUUUUUUUAGUCUUUUAUAUAAUGUCAGGUGACUUAGGCUGGAUUUCCUUCACCUUUUGGGACAUGGUGACACAGUUAUUCGCCAUGAGUUCAAAAUUUGAUUCACCGACUUUUAACACAGGCUCUUCAGCCUGUGAAGUUGAGUCUGGUGGAUAUAAUCAUCUCGAUAAGAGCUGGACAUACAGCCUAGCUCUAUUACUCCCACAGAAGCCCCUGGAAGUUGCUUGGAUAUGCUGGAACAUGGAAAAGAUCAGCACCUCAGUUGACACAAAAUGUGCAGAUAUACUCAUUGAAAGAAACAUUAAGGAAACGUCUCUGAGAUGCAAAGGAGUGUUUGUGCAGAUUUGUUCUUAACACCCUCACCAUACUUCAAGCCACAUGGCACUUUACCCUACACUUUGCACACUACCAUGCAGCUGAGAACUGGCAAAUGCAAUCUUCCUUCACCAAGGCAUCUGCUGGGAAAUUCUCCUACCUGCUGAAACAUAGGUAUUUUUCGCUAAGUCAAUAAAAGAGGGAAAUUUAUCAAUGACUCUCCUCUUUUGUACAAAAAUGUAAUUGAAAAUGUCACCGUGGAUAUGCUGCUCAGUAGCUUUGCUUAGGAUUGUAAAAGUGGUCCUGAAAACUGCUUUGCCUGUUGAUGGUAGAAAGAAAAAAGAGUUUGCUAACAGCAUUGUUGCACUUGUUCAUCUUUUGCUUUUACGAAAGUGAUGCUAUAAACACAGAAAAGAUUGUGAUCUGAUAGCUGUCAUUGCUCUAGUAUAACAUUAGCUGUCUGGAAAUGAGCUAAUUAAAUUUUUUGGUGUGUCUUGUAUAGAAUACAUUUGCAUUUGACAUAAUUAGUGGUAGGCAGAUCCAGCUAUAUCCAGGGGGAUUCUCAAGACAACUGCUUUGCUGACUAUUAGUGCCUAAUUUCUGAAUGUCAAAUCCCGCACAUCUUAAUUUCUAGAGAAUUAGCUCAAUUGAACUUGCUCCCCAGUUAUGCAAAAACUGUUCAGAUAAAACCAAGUGGACACGAAUAUAAUGAAUGUGGUUAUUAAAUUGUUUCAAUUGAAAGAACCCUAUUCUUAUACCAUCAUAAUGGGAACAAUUUAUCCCCACUGAUCAGCCUGUCUCUUUUUUCUGAGCUCUCUUUGAUCUUGAAGCACAUUGCAGUGGUAUGUCCUAUUGAAAAGCAAAACUGGGGCAAUUUUAAAGCUUUUGUACCUUACCAGUGCUCUAUUUUUUCAUGGUUUAAAAAUAGCUGUUAAUUAUAAGUGCAGUUUAAAUGUCUCAGUGACCCAGAAAUGCAGUUGGAAUGAGACAGAUUCUGUGUCUCUUAUAAAACAGAUGUACUUUCACAGAGCAUCCUGAAUUCAGCCCUGAAGAUCUAACCUUCUCUAAGGUUAUUUCAGUCAGGUAUUGAGCUUGUCUAGCUUUUAGAUAUAAAAUCCCACGCAUUUUUAACAAUGAAGACAAAACUUAAUCUAUAUUUACCUCAAGAAUAAAAAAACCUCUUUUUCUGUGGGGGUUUGUUUUCCUGCUGGUGGUUGAUGGGAUGAUUUCCCUUAGACUCCAGAGACUCAGUAGACAAUAUACCUCAUUUAAUCUCCACCUCUUCUGCCCCUUAAUGUAAUAAGCCUCAUGCUCUUGAAGAACAUUAAGUGCUAAUAAAUUUCAGGAAAUCAUAUUAUUUUGACUGGAUUAAUCACUGCACCAGCCAUAUCUUGCAGAUAUAAAAUUUCAAGCUUCAGUGUUUUGAGUGGCUCAAAGUACUUUUUUAUCUUCUCUUCGGCCAACAAUUGCUUUUAAUUCCUGUCUGUGAUGGGGUUCUUCAAGAGAAGUCUGAAAAGUAGGGUGCAAAUAAAUUAAAACAAUGAUUUACAGGAGGGCCUGAACAAAUCGGUUAUUUAUAUGUCUCUUUAUUUCUAUGUUGUUAGACAGCAGUUUACAGAUGUUUCAAUUAAUCAACAAGGCUUGGUUUCAAUUUUCUGAUUAGAAUAGGCUGUCUAGUGCAUUGAGUUUGCUGAGCUCUCCCAUUUCCCUGAAGAUCAGUGGUACACAUUUCAAAGCCACCAGGACUUCAUGAAACCGAAUGGGUUAAUGGUGAAGGGAGCCAAGGAUCAACCAAACUUGGAUUAUACAUUGAUAUCUCAGUCAUUAGGAGAGACUGACAUCCAGAUAAGGGCUGGACUGCAGGAAUAAUUAGUCUAUGAGUGUGGCAGAGCCUACCUGAUCUGGACAUGAGCAGCAAACCUGAUCCAAAGCUUUUUCUCACUUUUUGGUUAUUAAGUGUUAUAUAAAUAUUUUUCUUCAUAUCAACUAAGAAUAAGGUGGAAAAAAGACAAAGAAAAAGGAGGUAAUAAUCCCUCAGGACAUCAAAUCUUUUUGACUAAUAAAAACGUUUUCUUGAA
Long non-coding RNA from Catharus ustulatus (Swainson's thrush), 5853 nucleotides. RefSeq lists it as uncharacterized. The record is from RefSeq and is a predicted model, not a curated record. NCBI's taxonomy places the organism in Eukaryota, Metazoa, Chordata, Aves, Passeriformes, Turdidae. The transcript is spliced from 2 exons.